AACGAACGCUGGCGGCAGGCUUAACACAUGCAAGUCGAACGUGAAGCAGGAGCUUGCUCCUGUGGAAAGUGGCAGACGGGUGAGUAACGCGUGGGAAUUUACCCAGUGGUUCGGAAUAACGCAGGGAAACUUGUGCUAAUACCGGAUACGCCCUUCGGGGGAAAGAUUUAUCGCCAUUGGAUGAGCCCGCGUCGGAUUAGCUUGUUGGUGAGGUAAUGGCUCACCAAGGCGACGAUCCGUAGCUGGUCUGAGAGGAUGAUCAGCCACACUGGGACUGAGACACGGCCCAGACUCCUACGGGAGGCAGCAGUGGGGAAUAUUGCGCAAUGGGGGAAACCCUGACGCAGCCAUGCCGCGUGAGUGAAGAAGGCCUUAGGGUUGUAAAACUCUUUCAGUGGUGAAGAUAAUGACGGUAGCCACAGAAGAAGCCCCGGCCAACUCCGUGCCAGCAGCCGCGGUAAUACGGAGGGGGCUAGCGUUGUUCGGAAUUACUGGGCGUAAAGCGCGCGUAGGCGGGCUGGUUAGUUGGGGGUGAAAUCCCGAGGCUCAACCUCGGAACUGCCCUCAAUACUGCCAGUCUUGAGUUCGAGAGAGGUAAGUGGAAUUCCUAGU
This 612-nucleotide ribosomal RNA is filed under the name uncultured bacterium. RNAcentral describes it as "bacterial SSU rRNA". It matches the Rfam family "Bacterial small subunit ribosomal RNA", at positions 28 to 674 of the family's 1533-position model. The record is from RNAcentral.